Molecule: ribosomal RNA, 308 nt
Filed under: uncultured bacterium
Lineage: Bacteria
Description: partial 16S ribosomal RNA
Rfam family: Bacterial small subunit ribosomal RNA
Source: RNAcentral
GAGACAGCAGCCGCCGCGGGAAUACGAGGGGGGCAAGCGUUGUUCGGAAUUAUUGGGCGUAAAGGGUGCGUAGGCGGCUUGACAAGUCUUGUGUGAAAUCUAUGGGCUCAACCCAUAGUCUGCACGGGAAACUGUCGGGCUUGAGAAUGGGAGAGGUGAGUGGAAUUUCCGGUGUAGCGGUGAAAUGCGUAGAUAUCGGAAGGAACACCUGUGGCGAAAGCGGCUCACUGGACCAUUUCUGACGCUGAUGCACGAAAGCUAGGGGAGCAAACAGGAUUAGAUACCCCAGUAGUCCCUGUCUCUUAUAC